This 550-nucleotide ribosomal RNA is filed under the name Dicentrarchus labrax (European seabass). RNAcentral's name for it is "partial small subunit ribosomal RNA". It matches the Rfam family "Bacterial small subunit ribosomal RNA", at positions 7 to 930 of the family's 1533-position model. Lineage: Eukaryota; Metazoa; Chordata; Actinopteri; Moronidae. The record is from RNAcentral.
CAAAGGCUUGGUCCUGACUUUUCUAUCAAUUCUAACUAGACUUACACAUGCAAGUAUCCGCACCCCAGUGAAGAUGCCCACAGUUCCCCGCCCGGGAACAAGGAGCUGGUAUCAGGCACACCCUAGGUAGCCCAUGACACCUUGCUUUAGCCACACCCCCACGGGGAAUUCCAGCAGUGAUAGACAUUAAGCCAUAAGCGAAAGCUUGACUUAGUUAAAGUUAAAUCAGGGCCGGUAAAUCUCGUGCCAGCCACCGCGGUUAAACGGGAGGCUCAAGUUGAUAGACACCGGCGUAAAGCGUGGUUAAGGACCCAACUUUUACACUAAAGCCGAACGCUACCAGAGCAGUGAUACGCACCGAGAGUAAGAAGAUCAAUUACGAAAGUAGCUUUAUUUAAACCUGACCCCACGAAAGCUAAGGCACAAACUGGGAUUAGAUACCCCACUAUGCUUAGCCUUAAACAUAGACAGUUGCUUAUUCCCACUGUCCGCCAGGGUACUACGAGCAUUAGCUUGAAACCCAAAGGACUUGGCGGUGCUUUAGACCCAC